RNAcentral lists this ribosomal RNA (252 nucleotides) under uncultured bacterium. Its description in RNAcentral is "partial 16S ribosomal RNA". It matches the Rfam family "Bacterial small subunit ribosomal RNA", at positions 524 to 776 of the family's 1533-position model. The record is from RNAcentral.
UACGUAGGGGGCAAGCGUUGUCCGGAAUCAUUGGGCGUAAAGCGCGUGUAGGCGGCUUCGUAAGUCCGUUGUGAAAGUCCAGGGCUCAACCCUGGAAUGCCGAUGGAUACUGCGGAGCUAGAGUCCGGAAGAGGCGAGUGGAAUUCCUGGUGUAGCGGUGAAAUGCGCAGAUAUCAGGAGGAACACCAAUGGCGAGGCAGCUCGCUGGGACGGUACUGACGCUGAGACGCGAAAGCGUGGGGAGCAAACAGG